Molecule: transfer RNA, 71 nt
Filed under: Balanoglossus carnosus
Lineage: Eukaryota; Metazoa; Hemichordata; Enteropneusta; Ptychoderidae
Description: tRNA-Gln
Rfam family: tRNA
About the family: Transfer RNA (tRNA) molecules are approximately 80 nucleotides in length. Their secondary structure includes four short double-helical elements and three loops (D, anti-codon, and T loops).
Source: RNAcentral
UAGAAAGUGGUGUAGUGGAAGCACAAGGGGUUUUGAUUCCCUUAGGGCAAGUUCAAUUCUUGCCUUUCUAG